GAGGAUAUUGCUCAAGGGUUAGAGCACAUGCUUAGCACGCACGAGGUCCUGGGUUCGAUCCCCAGUACCUCU
This 72-nucleotide transfer RNA is filed under the name Camelus bactrianus (Bactrian camel). It matches the Rfam family "tRNA". From Rfam's summary of the family: Transfer RNA (tRNA) molecules are approximately 80 nucleotides in length. Their secondary structure includes four short double-helical elements and three loops (D, anti-codon, and T loops). The record is from Rfam by way of RNAcentral. RNAcentral also lists the same sequence under 3 other names. Lineage: Eukaryota; Metazoa; Chordata; Mammalia; Artiodactyla; Camelidae.